AGGUAAUGGUUUUACAGUUGUAGCAACUUGUUUGUUAUUGCACGUUGUUUUGUUUUGCUUUAACAUUUUGAUUUACCGCCAUAUAUAAACAAGGCAACAGGUGAAAAAGGGCACAUCUGUCAUGGUCGGGUGCUUUUGGCGACGGGCAAUCGUUGGGAACUAGCGCUUUAGGCGCGCUGUGUACGUUGCGAUUUCCUGUUGUAGUGGGUGGUAGCUGGUGUGUAUGUAUGACACUUUGGCAUGGGAAUUUACUUCGCAAAUGAUUACUACGCUUAGAUACAAGUACAUACAUACAUCUAUCUAUCAACAUAAUUCUUCCAUCACCAUUUUCGCCGCUGUUGGAGGUUAGAAACAAUGCAUGAAACAAAUUUUCAAUUCCACUUUCACUGCUGACGUGAUACAUCACGAAGAUGGCGCCACAUGCUAUUGCAGCGUGAGGAGCAUGCAUAAUGGAAAUUAGAAGUGGAAAGGAAAUCCGCUGCGGUUAGAUUACGUAAUAAUGUUGCAUUUUUUAUUAGCGCAUUCAAUAGCAUUCAUAAUUGCAUAUUUGUAUACCACAACCGAAGUACUUAUAUUAUAUUAUAUACAUAUGUAUCUUCGUAUAAGGAAUAGUUAGGCAAGGAUAUGUGUGUACCAGAGAAAUGCCGGAAUAAGUAAAAGAAAUAUGCAUUCACCAUUGAAGAAGUCAAAUAAAUAAAUAAAGGCCUAAUGGUGAUUAAAAGAAAAAA
Long non-coding RNA from Bactrocera oleae (olive fruit fly), 728 nucleotides. RefSeq lists it as uncharacterized. NCBI's taxonomy places the organism in Eukaryota, Metazoa, Arthropoda, Insecta, Diptera, Tephritidae. The record is from RefSeq and is a predicted model, not a curated record.